This 301-nucleotide ribosomal RNA is filed under the name Ignavibacteria bacterium. RNAcentral's name for it is "partial 16S ribosomal RNA". It matches the Rfam family "Bacterial small subunit ribosomal RNA", at positions 1 to 334 of the family's 1533-position model. Lineage: Bacteria; Pseudomonadati; Ignavibacteriota; Ignavibacteria. The record is from RNAcentral.
ACAACGGAGAGUUUGAUCCUGGCUCAGGACGAACGCUGGCGGCGCGCUUAACACAUGCAAGUCAAGGGUAGCAAUACACUGGCGCACGGGUGAGUAACGCGUAGGUUAUCUGCCCCUAUCACAAGCAUAACGUCGAGAAAUUGGCGCUAAUACUUGAUGAGGCCUCCGGGUCAAAGAUUUAUCGGAUGGGGAUGAGCCUGCGUUAGAUUAGCUAGUUGGUAAGGUAAUGGCUUACCAAGGCGACGAUCUAUAGCUGGUCUGAGAGGACGAUCAGCCACACUGGUACUGAGACACGGACCAG